This is a long non-coding RNA of Pogoniulus pusillus (Red-fronted tinkerbird), 681 nucleotides long. RefSeq lists it as uncharacterized. The record is from RefSeq and is a predicted model, not a curated record. The transcript has 3 exons. NCBI's taxonomy places the organism in Eukaryota, Metazoa, Chordata, Aves, Piciformes, Lybiidae.
GCUUCCCCUGAACGGUUCGGUUCGGAGCACUCGGCACCACCCCCGGGUAUCCUGCUCGCACGGUAACACACAGCAAUGUGCUUCGGCCAGCAGCCUGCUCUGGAGAAACGGCCGUUCUCCCCGGGAUCCCUCAGAGUCACCCUGGUGACAGCACCCCCUCAGCCAAAGCCGAACAAAAGCCGUGCUGCCCUCGGCCUCGGCGCUCCCCCGAGCAGAGCAACAGGCCGGGAAAGGCGACGGAGGAGGGACCGGGAGGAGGGAUCGCCUAUUGACUGGGGGAGAGGGGCAGCCCCUGCCUCGGGAGAAGACGUGGGACCGAGUCAGCGAGCGCCUUGUUUACCCUGCAAUUGCUCUAACCCUCGAUCCUAAUCACAGGAUGAGAAACCAAAGCAGUUUAAAUCCCCCGGCGCAGCCACUACAAACACCAACCAGCUGGGCAGAGCCCGCCCAAGGUGGGCACUUUCCUGAGCCGCUUCUGCAAACUUUAUAGCCCCGGCUGCAGCCGCGCCGAGUCCGGGCCAGCAACUCUUCCGAGGGUGGCUAAGUCAGUUUAAAGCAACUCCUACUUUUCCAGUACAUAUCGAUUUCAAAUGCUACUUACUGGAAUAUGUGGCUCCAUGCGUGGUGCUUCUACCCGCUGGGAAACCAGCAGCAUCUUGGACUGGGGAUCAACCGGCUUUU